Setaria italica (foxtail millet) is the source of this 3291-nucleotide long non-coding RNA. RefSeq lists it as uncharacterized. The transcript is spliced from 3 exons. The record is from RefSeq and is a predicted model, not a curated record. Lineage: Eukaryota; Viridiplantae; Streptophyta; Magnoliopsida; Poales; Poaceae.
UAAAAAGAUGGUCGUCCAAGUCGUCGCCUCGCCGUUGCUUGUCCGAGCGCCCAAAGGCUUCCUCAAAGAAACGAGGCCUUUGACUUUCUUACAUGAUAGUGGGGAUCACGUUCUGCACCCUGUGCCAUUUCCUUAAUCUCGCAAAGAUGCAAUCUUUUCGGGUUUCCCAUCCUGAAUCCUGACCAAGGAACGUUUCAGCCCUUAUCGCCAAGCAACACAGUUAACUGGAGCUUCCUUACCUGUUCACAUACGGGGAAGAAAAGAAGCCUUCGCAAAUGACGAUGCUGCUUGAACAAAUGAAUAUUUCUCACACAAAUUCGUAGACUGCUUCACAAAUGCUGCAUAUAUUGAUCGUUGUUGUCGAACGCAUUUCAAGCUUCCGUCAGUUUUUCUUUAACCGGCAGCUCUCUGGACGUAUCUGAAAAUUCCAUGUAUAUCAGUUUUGUUGUGAACGGAGAAGUGAAUGCCUGUAUAAUAAUAGUAGGUCCAAGGGUUCUGCUUCUGCAUCAUUGGGCUUGGUACAUUGGAUUAUACUGAACACCACCUCCAUGGCUCUUGGAAGAUACAGCUAUGGACUCUUUUGUUAGCAACGGAACUGGGAGGAAGAAGAUAGCAGAGAAUUCAGAUCGGAAAGCAAGAAAUUGGACUGGCAGAGGAAUGCUUGCAUUAGGAAGGAAAUUGACUUGUGUUCAUACACGGAUAAUCCUCUCUCUGCUCAUCCCUCUCCUCAAAUAUCAGAGCUUUGACAACUCCACUGAAUUAGUGUAGGGAUGUGAAACAUGGCGUGCAUGGACUGAUGGACGGGCUGGAGGAAUGGGUGCUAGCGUGGCUCAGAGAGAAACCAGAGUGAAGACAACACAGGCACACGGCCAUGUCCAGACCCUGAAAGCAAUGCAGGUUUCAUGUCCCCUGGUGAUAGAAAAUUAUUGGAAAACCAUGGAUUGCUCACUCUGCUUGGGUUUGAUGAGUGUAGGUGUUGCAUUUGUUUGACUAGUGCUAGUGCAGGGAAGAUCGGAGAUGCUCGAGGUCACCUCUUGGAGAUCAAAGAAGCUCUGCCUCACGCCGACGAGGUGAUGAUGGCUUCGCUGGGAGGUUGCACAGGGGCGUGGGGGAGCUGCACAUCACCGGGGCCGCACACCUUGCUCGCGUGCGCCUUGCGCAACGCCGCAGCGGGACGAGCGUGCUGGAGGACAGCCGCUUCGAUGCUUCCAGUGGGAGCAGCAGCACCUCCACGAGCGGCGGGAACUGGUGCUCAGUGGAGGCGGGAACUGGUGCUCGAGGUCAAGGAGCAGAGGGUGGUGGAGGAGCGUCAGCUCCCACGGCGGUGACGGGGCGCCGUCCUUGGCAGCGUUGAGGAGCCUUCCCACGCCGUGCUCGUCGAGGUCUCGGCCGUCUCGCGCCGUCGUCAAAUACAGCUCCGCCGCGGCCCGCGUGCAAGGCUGCAGAGGCGCGGCGCGUGAAUUCGGCGAGACGAGAGCGGGAUGCUUAGCAGCGGGGCCAGCGGGGUUCGCCGCCGGCGGCGCGGCCUCGCCGGAAGAGAUGUCGCCGGCCCGAAACAUUUGUAAAACGCUCCCUAGAUUGGAUCGCGACUAAUAAUCGCGAUCCAAAUAUUUGCAUAUACACCCCUAGUUUGGAUCGCGAUUAAUAACCGCGAUCCGAAUAUUUUCAAAUAGCCCCCCAUUUUGGAUAGGAAUUCAGCGAAGUGCCCCCUCUGGCUGGCUCUGGUCUCUCCUCGUCGGCUCAUUCUCCGGCAGUUACGCCGCCGGCCGCCGCCUUCCGUCCCCGCCGGAAGCGCAGAGACCGACCCCACGAUCCGCUCCAGCUCUCCACUCCUCUGCCGCCCCCAAGCGCUCGAAUCGCCGGAAUCUCCCAAGACGCCGGGUGGAGUGGAAGCGGAACGCAACAGCACCUCUCACCGAUGCAGCAGAUUGCGCCGGCUACCAACCCAGCAGACGCAGCGGCCGUCGACAUGGAUAGAGGCAACAAAUGCUCGAGGAAAUGCCUCUAAGGUGAUCGAUUGGUGCCAUUCGCAAUUAACAGGCAGGUGAUUUCCCCUAAUCCCCACCCUUCUCUUGCAUACAAAUUCGUGAGAUUUGUUGGUAUUAUUUCUAAUAUCUUUGAUGCCUGUGAGCUUGCAGUUUGAAACAUUUGUUUCAUUUGUUCAGACAACUGGCUGCUUUUGUUAGGAAAGAUCAUCUUUUUAUUCAGUUUCAUGCGAGCAACUGGACUGCUUCUGCUUUCUGACAUCAGGUGGAUCUGACAUCAGGGGUAAUGUCAGGUGCUCAUGAGGGACAUGUCUAAAUCAUGACUCAAAAACACAAUUCUUUUUACUUGAUUGCUCUCACUCUUGCUGCAGAUCAAAGCAAAUGUUAGUGCUGAUCUAGAAGGAGGAUAUGAUAGUUCAAAAGAUGAAGUUUCAUCUAUUUCCUCAUACAACCCUUCCAAAGCAAAUCCUGAAUUCUCCCUCAGGAACUCAUUGUCGAUGCAAUCUCUGUCAUCACGCCUCUCCACAAGUGAGCUGUUUUAUAAUCAAUUAGAACGACCCAAUUUCUCAUCAUACAGCCCAAUUCCUCGAUUGUCAGUGUCAGAGAUUUCAGAUGACCAUGUCGGAGCCUCAGGCUCAAGGGAGGAAGGGGAGAAGGAGAGCUAUUCAGAAACUACUCAGCCAAUUGGAGACAGGAGCUUGUACAGAUGGUUUGGCUUUAACCAAAACCAUGGUUACUUCAUGAACAAAGAACUCCCUCCAAGCUCCCAGCGAGAGAAUUCCAUUAUAAAAAAUAAUACUGUUCCUGUCGCACCAGAUGCUCCAGCAGCCAAUCAAAACAAGUUCCCUGAAGAUGAAGAAGUUCCUCAGUUGUUUGAGGAUGUGCAAUGUGGUGCCUAUUUGUGCAAAAGCACUCCAGAAACAGAGGACAAACAGAGCAAGGAGACUGAUCAUAAGCAUCAAGAUGGCUGCAUUUGUUCAUGGAUUUCAGUACUUGGUGCAACAUCAAUACCCACAAGAUUCUGAUCAUGAGUGCACCACAGGUAUACCUGCUACACAAGCUCAUCGGUCCAGCGCUGUGUCAGGGAUGUGCCUGGUUUGCUAACAGGUGUUUUUUUUAUGUCACCAUGUUUUCAAUCAAUAAGUCUCGUAGUCUCAAAGGAAGAAAUAGUUGUAACUGACAGAUGGACUCAUUUGGGGUUCCUAUAUGCUAUUACAUUGUUAUAUAAUAGUACAAAGAUAUUUGGCCAUUAAUUCCUUUUAUUUUGUGGAAAACAAAUAAUAUUAUACAGUGAUUAUCACGCUCA